AGAUGGGAGUGUGAUCUGGCUGUGAGAUAUCACUGCACUGAUUUCCUGGGCUUGCUUGCUAAGGUGGAAUUUUCUUUCCUUCCCCCUCACUGAGCCACAGGCAUCCUUUCUGAAGCUGUGCCCUCUGUCAAAGAAGAUGAUUUUUCCUAAUGAAGAAAUCUAAUUCUUCAGUCAAUCUGGUUUAUGGCUAGUUGAACUUUUCUGUCAGAAUAUCUAGAUUGACUUAGCCAGGGAAAAGCCACUUAUUCCAAAUGAUAAAUACUCAAGAUAUGAACAAAUAGUUUUCAACAGGAGAAAUUCAAGUU
This 305-nucleotide small nuclear RNA is filed under the name Monodelphis domestica (gray short-tailed opossum). RNAcentral describes it as "7SK RNA". It matches the Rfam family "7SK RNA". Rfam says of the family: 7SK was discovered as an abundant small nuclear RNA in the mid-70s but a possible function has only recently been suggested. Two independent studies have found that 7SK RNA binds the CDK9/cyclin T complex (known as elongation factor P-TEFb). P-TEFb activates transcription by phosphorylating the C-terminal domain of RNA polymerase II. The record is from Rfam by way of RNAcentral. Lineage: Eukaryota; Metazoa; Chordata; Mammalia; Didelphimorphia; Didelphidae.